AUGUCGUGUGACGCAAGCAGGCACGCAGCCUUAUUCACCGACUGCGAGGAGCAGCAGCCGAGCCGCCCUGCUCCUGGAGCCGGAGACAUCGCAUUGCUCUGGGAGACAUGAGGAGGACAAUAAUACGAUCUCGCGGGAUCUCCCCACCGCAAUCCGAUAAAGUAGACUCCUUCGGCUUUCCUCCUACGUUGGCAUCUCUAAGAAACCCAUCCACACGCUAUCUAGCUGUUCUCUGAAUAAUAUAUAUAUAUUUUUAAUACCAUAUAGAUCGCUGUUCCAGGUCCUAUCAUUGUCCUCUUCUAAUUGACAAGGGACACGAUUCUGGGGGAACAAUAUAGAUUACUUGGUCCUUGGGUUCAUAUCCACCUCUUGCUCUUCUCCUUCGUUGAAUUUCCCCCGCUCGAUAUUUCUCCUCCCACAUCCGCGAUCUGGGUACCUGGUUUUUCGACCCACCGAAGCCUCAGGAACGAUGUCCUCCUCGGUGAUGCUUGCGGUCCUUCAAUUUAUGGUGUUAAUGAAGUCAGCCUCGACGCAGAGCGCCGGGUUUGUGAAGUCGCCCAUGUCAGAGACCAAGCUCACGGGGGACACCUUUGAGCUGUACUGCGACGUGGUCGGCAGCCCCACCCCGGAGAUCCAGUGGUGGUACGCCGAGACCAACCGCGCCGACUCCUUCAAGCAGCUGUGGGACGGGGCGCGCAAGCGGCGCGUCUCCAUCGACACGGCGUACGGCGCCAACGGCGUGAGUGUGCUGGGCGUCACGCGUCUCACGCUGGAGGACUCGGGGACCUACGAGUGCCGGGCCAGCAACGACCCGCGGCGCAACGACAUGCGCCAGAAUCCCGCCCUCACCUGGAUCCGGGCGCAGGCCACCGUGACGGUGCUGCAGAAGCCCCGGAUCAACUCCUCGGAUGACGUCGCACUCCUCCCGGGGUCCCACCCGCCCCCAUCCACGCUGCAGUGCAAUCUCACCAACUCCCAUAACACACACCGACAGAGUUUCUGGAUGAAGAAUGGAGAAGAGAUCCCGGGAACCCGCAGAGACCUAAAAAACACAGAGUACAGAAUUCAGAAGCCCAGAGCUGAAGAUGCUGGGGAGUAUAUGUGUGUGUACACCUUCGACAUGGCCCCUCCUGCGAAUGCUACCAUCGAGGUGAAAGCUUCUCCUCACAUCACCGGCCACAAGCGCAGCGAGAACCAGAACGAGGGCCAGAGUGCCAUGCUCUACUGCAAGUCCGUGGGCUACCCCCACCCGACGUGGAUCUGGCGGAAGCUGGACAGGGGGGCUUACGUGGACAUCGACAACUCCUCUGGCCGUUUUUAUGUUAACAGCAGAGAAAAUUAUUCAGAACUUAACAUUGUGAACCUGGACAUCAAAACCGAUGCGGGUCAGUACCAGUGCAAUGCCUCCAAUGUCUUGGGGACGACGACGCAAGUCUCAAUCUUGCGGGUACGCAGCCACUUGGCGCCCCUCUGGCCCUUCCUGGGUGUCCUGGCGGAGAUCUUCAUCCUCGUCGUCAUCAUCGUGGUGUAUGAGAAGCGCAAGAGACCAGAGGAGGAGAUGGACGGUGAGGACCCUCCCCCCACCAUUAUUACACCUCCCCAAAGAAAGGCUCCAAAUUAAGUCACGUAAGAGGCAGCAAGGGCUUUGAUGCAAGAGGCUUGAGUCAGAAUUCACUUUAUUGGCCAGAUACACCCACAUGUACUAGGAAUUUGUCUUGGUGCAUACAGUACUAGUCUAAUGUCUGGACACACUAACCGAAAGCCAUUUGUUUUCGCACAAGAUAAUGACCCUAAGCACACCUCAAGGUUAUGUAAUGUUGCGUUCCAUUUGAACUGUGAAGUCAGAAUUUCCAAGUGUCUAGUUGGAAAUUUCAACUGGAAAGCCCCCUGAAACCGGAAUUCCAAGUCGGAAUCUCUGAGGAACCUCUGCAACCCCAACCUCAGAAUUCAAUAUGGCUGCACUCUUCAUCAACAGAAAUGAAAGCUGUUGUUAUUUACCGUUUAUUAGCAGUCAUGUCUUCUGUGGGGCUCAUUAAAUCUGUCGUACAUACAGCACUGUCCAGCUGCUAUCUGUGGACUUGUUGCUAUGGUGUUUGUAUGUGCAAAAUACCACGUAUACCAACGUAUUGUUAUCAACUGGUGUUGCUAACAAUGGCUAACAAUGAACCUGGCUAGAACUGGGGCCUGUUUCAGAAAGCAGGAGACCUUGCUUAGCCAGACAACUUGUGGAAUUUAAGGUAGCCUGACCUAAAUGUAAAUGAAUGAAGAUAAAGGUGAUUUAAUCUGGGGUACCUUAAAUCUAACAAAUUAUCGGGCUGCGCAAGAAAUCUUGCUUUUUGAAACAGGUUGCGUAAUGGCUAUCCAACUUGUAUUGGAACGCGGUUAACUUGGGUGUGACUUCAUUCCCAGGUCAGACCUCUUAAGUAAAUGUAACACAGUAUAGAUUCGGCAUUAUCUUGAACAAGGAAAGACAUGGAGUACCAUAAUAGAUUACCUGGCCCCCACAAACCCCCAACCAAUACACUAUAGAGCUGGUUUGGGAUGAGUUGGAUCAAAGAGUAAGAGCAAAUAGCCAACUUGUGCCCAGACCUUAUGGAAAGUCCACUAGGACUGUUGGAGAAGCAUUCCAGGUGGCUACAUCUGGAUGCUGGUUGAAAGAAUGAUGAGUCUGCAAGGCUGUCAUCAAAGCAAAAGGAGGAUCGUUUGAAGAAUCUAAAAUUUGAGAAAAUUUUGAGAUGUUGAACACUUCUCUUGUUCAUAUCAGUAUUUGAAAUGCAUUACUCCAUUGCUUUAUGGCCUUUUACUAUAAAUAACUAUAGAUAACAGCUAAAACAGAGUCAAAUGCAUUAAAAGCAAACGUGUCCAGACUUUUGACUGCUACUGUACGUUCACAAACAACAUAGAAUCUAAAUUAAGAAAAAUAAUGAAAAAAUAGAAAUAAAAUAGCCAGUCAGUGCUUUUUCUUCUAACUGGUGAAGAUCAGGAGAUCCUUUACUUAGACGUAUUUUCUAUAUAUGUGCUCAGUCCCAUUACUGAUGUGAACGUCCGUCCAUAAUUUACUGUGAGAGACGUUGCUUGGGAGCUUCCAUCACGAGGUCGAUGGCUCUGCUAUUUCUGAGCCAAAGUGUGGGCAGCUGUGACCUUAAUUAUUCAUGCCUUUGAAGUGACACCCCCCCCCCCAAACUGAUCGGUCACGUUCACGGCCCGUACCUCUUCAGUGCGAGGGGCCGCGGCAUCACUGCGUGGACUCGGCAUCGACUCUUCAGCUUCGGCGGUUUGUCUCGCAAUCUCCGAAACGUCACUGAAGGUUGUGGUAAAUCACCGUGAACGCUAAAGGCGGGGCAGUGCGGUUUACCGGAUUUGUCUCACUGUAGAUCCGCCAAAAACGUCCAUGUACUCCGGGCCACGAUUAAAGUUCCUCAAUGACUUGAACACAAAUAAAGGCAGCAGUGUUCCAGAAAGACUUCCGGCUAUUGACCCUGCUGAGUUAACCCUAAUGAGUUUGUUUUUUAUGGUUAUCUGGAACACAUCUGUGACCUUUUAAUGGCUGCAUACUGUCCCUGUGGUCCAUUUUUUUUUCCAAACAUGCUGUCUUGUGAUGUAGAAGAACCGGCCCCUGACUCGGUUAGAUGUGCUGCAGAUUCAUACACAAGGAUGAAGCUAAACUUUUGGGUCAAGGUUGUGUUGGAGGGUUACUAAGACGUUUUUUUCCCCUUUUCCAAUCGCCUCAUAACCUUUAAAAUGGGUGACGAUGAGGCAGCCGGACCAAUGAAAACAAACUCCACCAACAAUCACAAAGAGAAGAAUCUGCGCCAAAGGAACACCAACUGAGUGGGGGGAGCCUGUCUACAACAAUGGCGUGAAUUUCACAAGGUGAAGAUGGAAG
Molecule: RNA transcript, 3886 nt
Organism: Brienomyrus brachyistius
Lineage: Eukaryota; Metazoa; Chordata; Actinopteri; Osteoglossiformes; Mormyridae
Gene: nptnb
Gene name: neuroplastin b
Exons: 9
Source: RefSeq, a predicted model, not a curated record